AAGAGUCCCUGGCACCUGCCACAGCUGGGUCCCCUCAGGAAAGAUCGGGCCUUGGAGGCGACAGCUGAAUCACCUCUGGUUAUCCCUGAGGAGCGCUGGAGCAAGGAUUAUCCUUUGUGAUCCCACGCUGCUGGUACAACAACGUGAACUGAGGAGCUCCCAUCGCCUUCCCUGCCCAGUUUUCCUUCCCUUAGACCAUAGCAGCCAUCACAAGGGGACAGUCCAAACUAGAGGCUGGCCCUUGUCCUGCCUCGUGUGACAUCCCAAGGCAUGGGGAUGGGAAAAUGGGGGCUGAAAGUCAGUCUCUGUAGGAAGCAAAAAAAGGAGGGAGUUUCCUCUUGCCUCUCUUGUUCUUGGGCUUCUGAUGAAUAGCAAGAGGGGACAGGGGAGAGAGGAGGACUGUGACUGCUCCUGAGCCUCAGAGAUCCUGGUGACUCAAGGAUUUCCUGCCCUACAAGAGCCUGUCUGGCUUGAGGGAAUGAAAGAGGCUCACAGGGGUAGCACAGAGCUGCUCUGGGCUUUUGGGGUGUACAAUGAGGGUGUGGUGUGCACCUCAAAUGCCAGACUUCCUUAGGUUUUUGUCUUCCUGCCAGCUGGGAUAGCCUCCAUGGACAUGUCUGGAUCUGAGGAGCUGGCUGGGCACCUGCAUGAAGCCACUAGAAGAAUAUAAAAUGGCUUUCAUCAAGGCACACCAGAGAAAAUACUCCUUAGUCAUUUUUAUAGCAGGCCUUGAAGGCUUUGACUGGAGUGAUUUGGUUAAAAAUAGAUUUGUUUCUGUUGGAAUUUGGUGGAAAAGCUGGGCUACCAUAUUAAUGAAGCAGAGAACUGAGCCUGCUAGACACAAGCCUGCCUUGGCUGCUCUGGAGAAACUAAAGAAACACCAAGCAUUGCUAACAGUUAUUUUGAAAUUCUACCUUCUCCCUGUGCUUCUCCUUCUCAAUCUGCUGCAGGUCUGGCAGGUGAGAUGGGUGAUUAGAGGGGCGGUGCCACCCACAGCUCAUUAGGCUGUGGAUCAAAUCCUUUAAGCCUGUGUGCCUCCACUAAUUUCUGUGCUCACUUAUGCCAGCUGGGAUGUGUGGCUAACCCCUGAUCUGUGCCAAGCCAGGGUCACAGAAGGACACAGCACUUCAUCACAGAGACAGCCACGUGUCGGGAGAAGAUUCAAGCAUUGUCUUUAAAUCUGCACACCCUGAGGGAAAAAAAAGACAUUUAAAAACCA
Molecule: long non-coding RNA, 1219 nt
Organism: Passer domesticus (house sparrow)
Lineage: Eukaryota; Metazoa; Chordata; Aves; Passeriformes; Passeridae
Exons: 3
Source: RefSeq, a predicted model, not a curated record